This 297-nucleotide ribosomal RNA is filed under the name Acanthamoeba castellanii. Its description in RNAcentral is "partial 18S ribosomal RNA". It matches the Rfam family "Eukaryotic small subunit ribosomal RNA", at positions 823 to 1080 of the family's 1831-position model. The record is from RNAcentral. Lineage: Eukaryota; Discosea; Longamoebia; Acanthamoebidae.
CCUGUCCUCCUAUUUUCAGUUGGUUUUGGCAGCGCGAGGACUAGGGUAAUGAUUAAUAGGGAUAGUUGGGGGCAUUAAUAUUUAAUUGUCAGAGGUGAAAUUCUUGGAUUUAUGAAAGAUUAACUUCUGCGAAAGCAUCUGCCAAGGAUGUUUUCAUUAAUCAAGAACGAAAGUUAGGGGAUCGAAGACGAUCAGAUACCGUCGUAGUCUUAACCAUAAACGAUGCCGACCAGCGAUUAGGAGACGUUGAAUACAAAACACCACCAUCGGCGCGGUCGUCCUUGGCGUCGGUCCUUC